Molecule: ribosomal RNA, 361 nt
Filed under: uncultured eukaryote
Lineage: Eukaryota
Description: SSU rRNA
Rfam family: Eukaryotic small subunit ribosomal RNA
Source: RNAcentral
AGCUCCAAUAGCGUAUAUUAAAGUUGUUGCAGUUAAAAAGCUCGUAGUUGAAAUUCUGCUGAAGCCAACCACUUGAUGGAUGGCGGAAGCAAAAGUCACAAAGUCAGGCGCGGCCAUUAAUUUGUUCGUGUCUUGAGUUGUGUCGUUUACUGUGAACAAAUUAGGGUGCUCAAAGCAGACCUGUGUUUGAAUACAUUAGCAUGGAAUAAUAAGAUACGACUUCAGUUGAAUCUUGUUGGUGUCUUCAGAAGUAAUGAUUGAAAGAAACAAUUGUGGGUAUUCGUAUGAGCAUGUCAGAGGUGAAAUUCUUGGAUUUUGGUCAGACGAACUACUGCGAAAGCAUUUACCAAGGAUGUUUUCA